This 485-nucleotide ribosomal RNA is filed under the name uncultured Acidobacteriota bacterium. Its description in RNAcentral is "bacterial SSU rRNA". It matches the Rfam family "Bacterial small subunit ribosomal RNA", at positions 8 to 472 of the family's 1533-position model. The record is from RNAcentral. Lineage: Bacteria; Pseudomonadati; Acidobacteriota.
AGAGUUUGAUCCUGGCUCAGAAUGAACGCUGGCGGCGUGCCUAACACAUGCAAGUCGAGCGGUAAGGCCCCUUCGGGGGUACACGAGCGGCGAACGGGAGAGUAACGCGUGGGUAACCUACCCAGAAGUGGGGGAUAGCCUCGGGAAACCGGGGGUAAUACCGCAUGUACUGCGGUCGGCAUAAGUCGACUGCCGAAAAGGCGGGGAUCCUUCGGGACCUGUCGCUUCUGGAUGGGCCCGCGUCCGAUUAGCUAGUUGGUGGGGUAAUGGCCCACCAAGGCUUCGAUCGGUAGCCGGCCUGAGAGGGUGAACGGCCUCAUUGGGACUGAGACACGGCCCAGACUCCUACGGGAGGCAGCAGUGGGGAAUUUUGGGCAAUGGGCGCAAGCCUGACCCAGCGACGCCGCGUGGAGGAUGACGGCCUUCGGGUUGUAAACUCCUGUCAGGUGGGAAGAAAUGCCCGUCGGUCAAUAUCCGACGGGAGG